AUUGAACGCUGGCGGCAUGCUUUACACAUGCAAGUCGAACGGCAGAGCGGGCUUUGGCCUGGCGGCGAGUGGCGAACGGGUGAGUAAUGCAUCGGAACGUGCCCAGUAGUGGGGGAUAGCCUGGCGAAAGCCGGAUUAAUACCGCAUACGACCUGAGGGUGAAAGCGGGGGAUCUUCAGGCCUCACGCUAUUAGAUCGGCCGAUGUCGGAUUAGCUAGUUGGUGGGGUAAAGGCUUACCAAGGCGACGAUCCGUAGCUGGUCUGAGAGGACGACCAGUCACACUGGGACUGAGACACGGCCCAGACUCCUACGGGAGGCAGCAGUGGGGAAUUUUGGACAAUGGGGGCAACCCUGAUCCAGCCAUGCCGCGUGCGGGAAGAAGGCCUUCGGGUUGUAAACCGCUUUUGGUCGGGAAGAAAUCCUCUGGGCUAAUACCCCGGGGGGAUGACGGUACCGGAAGAAUAAGCACCGGCUAACUACGUG
This 484-nucleotide ribosomal RNA is filed under the name uncultured bacterium. Its description in RNAcentral is "partial 16S ribosomal RNA". It matches the Rfam family "Bacterial small subunit ribosomal RNA", at positions 29 to 507 of the family's 1533-position model. The record is from RNAcentral.